CCGGCAACAAGGUUCAAGUUUGUGUUAAGUUUGUUUAACGCGCAUAUUUUAUACGGAAGUGGAUUUGCUGAUUAUUUUAGUUUUUAGAACUGAAGCUGAAAAAUAAGCGCUGUAAUUACCACCUAUUACGAAGUGCGGACUCUUCUUACUCCACCGCCAAAUGACACUCGUUGGUUGAAUAAAAGUAUGGUCACAAAAUCUUUGAACAUAUUCGAGGCACAAUCCCAAUGGAUCCACAGCAGGACGUUGACAAACACGAUCAAGAAAAACGUUAA
Molecule: long non-coding RNA, 275 nt
Organism: Paramacrobiotus metropolitanus
Lineage: Eukaryota; Metazoa; Tardigrada; Eutardigrada; Parachela; Macrobiotidae
Exons: 3
Source: RefSeq, a predicted model, not a curated record